This 253-nucleotide ribosomal RNA is filed under the name uncultured bacterium. Its description in RNAcentral is "partial 16S ribosomal RNA". It matches the Rfam family "Bacterial small subunit ribosomal RNA", at positions 524 to 776 of the family's 1533-position model. The record is from RNAcentral.
GACAGAGGAGCCAAGCGUUGUCCGGAGUUACUGGGCGUAAAGCGCACGCAGGUGGUUGGGCAAGUGCUGUGUGAAAGCCGGUGGCUUAACUGCCGGAGGCCAGAGCAGACUGCCUAACUGGAGCCCGUGAGAGGUCCGUGGAAUUGCCGAUGUAGCAGUGAAAUGCGUAGAGAUCGGCAGGAACACCAAAGGGGAAGCCAGCGGACUGGCACGGCGCUGACACUGAGGUGCGACAGCGUGGGGAGCAAACCGG